This 429-nucleotide ribosomal RNA is filed under the name Gemmatimonadota bacterium. Its description in RNAcentral is "Gemmatimonadetes bacterium partial 16S ribosomal RNA". It matches the Rfam family "Bacterial small subunit ribosomal RNA", at positions 355 to 776 of the family's 1533-position model. The record is from RNAcentral. Lineage: Bacteria; Pseudomonadati; Gemmatimonadota.
UAGGGAAUCUUCGGCAAUGGACGAAAGUCUGACCGAGCAACGCCGCGUGAGUGAAGAAGGUUUUCGGAUCGUAAAACUCUGUUGUUAGAGAAGAACAAGGACGUUAGUAACUGAACGUCCCCUGACGGUAUCUAACCAGAAAGCCACGGCUAACUACGUGCCAGCAUCCGCGGUAAUACGUAGGUGGCAAGCGUUGUCCGGAUUUAUUGGGCGUAAAGCGAGCGCAGGCGGUUUCUUAAGUCUGAUGUGAAAGCCCCCGGCUCAACCGGGGAGGGUCAUUGGAAACUGGGAGACUUGAGUGCAGAAGAGGAGAGUGGAAUUCCAUGUGUAGCGGUGAAAUGCGUAGAUAUAUGGAGGAACACCAGUGGCGAAGGCGGCUCUCUGGUCUGUAACUGACGCUGAGGCUCGAAAGCGUGGGGAGCAAACAGG